This 1381-nucleotide long non-coding RNA is filed under the name Homo sapiens (human). RNAcentral's name for it is "HSALNT0402204". The record is from RNAcentral. Lineage: Eukaryota; Metazoa; Chordata; Mammalia; Primates; Hominidae.
ACAUGUGUGUGUGUGUUUGAGUUGAAGACUAUGUAUAGGAAUUCAAUUCAGCAGACAUGUGGAUGCUUACCACAUGCACUGCCUCCACUUGCUUUUGCCUGUGUGCACCUGCUCAUGCAACAUCUUCAUGGCAAACCCAGGGGCACAUGCACUGGGGUAGUGCAGGAUCCAACGGUGCCAUCUGCACCCAGCAGACUUUCCAGGAGAGAAGAUUGACUGAGCACUCAGCCAUCAAUGUCAGCCUGUAGUGGAAGGCUCUAGGGCAAAAUUCUUUUAUGGGCAUCGCAGAACAAGUCUUCAUUGAACACUGUGAACCAGACAAGUGGGAAGGUGGAUGAAGAGCUAAUUCACUGAAACAAGAUGAGAUGCCCGAGAAUGUUCCCUCCCCAACUCAGAAUCCUUUGCAAAACCACCAGGAUCUUGGACAAAGAGAGCUUGGAAGCAAGGAAGACAGAUACAUCAGGACGGUGCCUAGGCAGUCUGCAGCUGAUGGUCCUCUAUCCACUUCAUAAUCUUUACUGUGUGCCAGUGAACAAGAGCCCCAGGUGCCCACCCUCCUCAGAGACAGUUCUGUGCGAAGGAUAGACCAAACCAAGCAAGCAGACAAAUAAAUCACAGUAAUUGUAUGAGGAGGAAAAUCAGCAAGGAAACCAGCAGUCAGUGUGCGGAGAGCUGUUCCCCAGAUGGAGUCAAGGAAGUCUUCCUGCAGAGGUGACGUGAUUGAGACGGGAGUUGGGGAAGGUGCACUGGAAGCUGGGUGGGUCUCAGAGGGCAGCCUGGUGGUUUAUUCGGCCUGGUUGUGUGUGCCAGGCACGGCCGAGGGCACUAAAGGAAGGGUGCCUCACUGCAGAGGAGGAGGAAGCUCCAGUGCCGGCAGGCUCCUGGGAUGGAGUAAGGACAUGUGGGUGUCGGGAUGUGAUUCUGGUGAAGCAUUUGAGCCCUACCACUCCAAAACCUGAGUUCAAGAACUCACCCACUACAUAUGAGCAGUGUGGACUUGUGAAAAUUAACCUCUCUUAUCCUUGGCUUUCUUUUUGGUACAGUGGAGUUGAUGAAAAGCAUCAGCUUCAGAGGAUUGGAGGAAAGGCACGUAGAGUGCUGAUGACAGGGCCUGGCACACAGCAGGAGCUCAACCAAUGCUCAGCGCUGAGAAGGGACUCACUGUGCUUAGCAAUAUUGCUGCGGGAAAGCCAGAUUGUCCCUUCAGGAUCCAUCAAUGCCGAGGGCAAGGAGAGAAAAGCAUUUGGGAUUUUCUUUUAUGGGUCUCUUCUUUCAAUUUCAUUUUCAUGUAUCUCAAUUUUUGUUGACUGUAUUCACCACUACUUCUUGACUGUUUUUUAUGUUCUAGGCACUUUUCACAAAUAUCUAUUUAAUCCUUAGU